This 2940-nucleotide long non-coding RNA is filed under the name Homo sapiens (human). RNAcentral's name for it is "HSALNT0203286". Lineage: Eukaryota; Metazoa; Chordata; Mammalia; Primates; Hominidae. The record is from RNAcentral.
AGACCAAAUUAAUCAGAGCUCUUUUGACUGACAUCACGCACAGUACACACACAGACAGACAGAAGAAAACUCAGUCACUGUGUGGGGCCCUUUAAGAGGCAGGGCUAAGACAGCAGGCAUAUAUCAAACCAGAAAGAAUCUUAUUCCCUAGGGCAGGAUUGCUAAACAAAGCCCUGCGGGGGGAGUUACAAGCCAUGCCCUCAGGAUGUAAUACAAGAUGGAGGCUUGAUUUCACAACCAAAACUUUCCAGAGAAUAUAGUGAUAGAUGUUGGAGGUCCCUAGUCUAGCACAACAUCUUCUAAAAGAAAAUGAAACUUUUAAAAGUUAACUACCGACAGGGUAGAGAGAAAAGAAAAGAAACAGUUUAAAAAUACCUGAGGAAGAGCCUCUCAUUCCUAUGCAACUGAUUCGUCCACCAUGGAGAUUAGUUCAAUUAUUGUCCAAUGGAGUAGAACCCCUUGGCUGGGGUAGGGGAAGGAGAAGACCGCAAGCUGGCUCUGCGAAGACCCUUGAGCCACGCGUCCCAGCCCCAGCAUGAAGCAGCUAUAAAUGAGUCACUCCAGGAGAUAGUAGUCAUACUUAAAGAAGAAAAGGAGCAUGUGAAAGUGUCUUAUCAAAUAGAAAAUACAAAUAAAGUAAUAGUUUAGAAACCAAAAAUGAAUACAUGCUAAGAAACAGUGUUUUGUGCCACACAUGACAAAGGUCACAGACUGUUAAAAAAAAUUGGUAAAAGUCACUGAGCAGACUGCAAUAGCCUUCAACAAUGUUUUUAAAAUAAAUAAAAUCAAAAGCAUACUCUGAAAGGGAGAAAACUCUGAUUUCAGUUACUACAUUAAAAUAUUCAAAUGCCUAGUUUCAACAACCAAAAAAUCAAAAGGCUUAUUAAAAAAACCAAAACAUCUAUCUCUGAAGAAGUCCAGACACUGGAUUUACUAGGCAAAUACUUUAAAAUAACUGUCUUAAAUAUGCUCAGAGAACUAAAAUAAAACUUGGACAAAUAACAAAAGGAAGCAAGAAAAAACAAAACGCGGAUAUCAAUAAAAAGACAGAAAUGAUAAGGUACCAGCCAUAAAUUAUUGAGCUCGAAAGUGCAAUAACUGAAAAGAAAAAUUUACUAGAGGACUUCAACAGCAGAUUUGAGCUGACAGAAGAAUCAGUAAACUUGAAGACAGAAUAAUUUAAGUCACCCAGCCUGAGGAGAAAGGGGCCAAGAGUUCUCACGUCUUCACUCUCCUGCCUGAGUAGAACCACUUUAUUACUGAGCUGGAGCUGAAUAGUAUGGACAAGGUGGCCUUCUUCUAGAGUUAUUCUUCUGAUCUUUGUGGAAGACUUAGGAAUGGAGUCUCAGCCACAGACUUCUUCAUUAGACAUUUUAGCGUGAUAUCGUCACUGUACAAAGUGAGAGCUGAGAAGAUGGUGAGAUGAUGGGAAUCCAUGGUUUUUCAGCCUGUUAACUCGUGACCUACCGGCCUUAUUCAGGGAAGAGUCUUUUCCCUAGGAGUGGGAGGUGGGUAGAUUAUAGGAGUUCUCGGUCCUUCCUGGCAAUGCCCGCUAAUAUUAAAUAUUUCACAACAUAAAGCUAGAAGGAUCAGUUUGAGGGCGAAAGUCAUUUUUGGUUUAAAUGCCACAUAUUCUAACCACACUAAAAGUUUAUAGAUUUUAUUAAAUUAAUGAUACUUUGAUUUGCUGCAUACUUUUAGGUCAAUUUCUUUAGAUGGCUGUUUUUAAUAAUUUUCACCAGUUUAGUGUCUGUUUCACUGUAGAGAUGGUUCACGGAAAGUUACUCGAUGCCAUUCCCAGAGUCUCACUCCCUCCAAAUGUAUUUUGUAUGCUUACAUGGUACAUAUUUUCAUAUUUUACUUUCAAAAUACCUGUAUCUUUAUACUUCAAGCAUGUUUUUGUACACAUUGAUUUGCAUAUAUCAUCUUUUUCAUUGAUUUUUAUCAAUAGCUAUUAUAUAUUUUAUUUUACUUUUCUGGAGUUUGCAAGAAGCUUUGCUAAUUAAUUACAAUUUUCAUUCAAAUAAUAUUUUAACACUUCAAAUAUGGUGUAAGAAUAUUACAAAACCCCAUUACUUUCAUAUCUCCCUGGUUUUUAGGCAAUUAUUAUCAUAACCUUCACUCCUGCAUUAGCUAUAAACCUCAUACUACAUUCUAAUAAUUUUAACAGUCAUUUUACUUGUGGAUUAAAUUAUAAAUUUAAAAAUGUACUUUUACAUUUAACCAUAUAUUUAUAAUUUCAGUGCUCUUCAAUUAAUUAUUUAUGUAUGUAUUUUCAUCUAGUAUCUUUUUUUCAUAUUGAAGACUUUUCUUCAAUGUUUUUCUUAGUGCAGGUCUCCUAGCAAUAAAAAAAUUCUUAUCUACUUUUUCUUGUAUUUUUGUCUAAAUUGUUUUCAUCUUGACUUAUAUUUUAAUAAAUUUUUUGCUGUAUAUACAAUUAGAAGUUGAGUGUUAAGUUUUUACUUUCAGAAAUUUAAAAAUGUCAUUCUAGUGUAAUUUGUUUUUCAUGAUUUUUUUUCUUGUAUGUAAUACGCUGCCACACAAACACUUACUGAGGUUGUUUUUUUUUUAAUUCUCCAAUUUUCAGAAAUUUAAUUAACAUGAUAUAGUUACUUCUUUAUUUUAUUUUUUCCUUUCCCCUUUCUUCCUUCCUUCUUUUGUUAAAUUUAUUCUUACUUAAAUCUUAUUUGAGAUGCUUAUGAGUUCUCAAUCUGAAACAGUUGAAAAGGUCAAUAAGUCUAUGCAUUUUUUUCCACUAUUUUUUAGUCUGUGCUUCAGUUUGAAUAUUUAUUAUCUUGUUUUAUGUAUCAUUUGUUUUAAUCCUAUUCAAUUAACUUUUCAUAUCAGAUAUUUUGCCUCUAGAAGUUCCAACUGGUUUCUUUAUAUUCCAAUUUCUCUCCUCAUUAUGUUUCUCUUUUACUUUUUAUCCUUGAACAUAUU